Molecule: ribosomal RNA, 163 nt
Filed under: uncultured bacterium
Lineage: Bacteria
Description: partial 16S rRNA
Rfam family: Bacterial small subunit ribosomal RNA
Source: RNAcentral
UAGGGAAUCUUCCACAAUGGGCGCAGCCUGAUGGAGCAACACCGCGUGAGUGAAGAAGGGUUUCGGCUCGUAAAGCUCUGUUGUUAGAGAAGAACGUGCGUGAGAGUAACUGUUCACGCAGUGACGGUAUCUAACCAGAAAGUCACGGCUAACUACGUGCCAG